GUAGGGGGCGAGCGUUGUCCGGAAUGACUGGGCGUAAAGGGUGUGUAGGCGGUUUAUUAAGUUAGAAGUGAAAUACCUAGGGCUUAACCCAGGUGCUGCUUCUAAAACUGAUAGACUUGAGUGCAGUAGAGGAAAGUGGAAUUCCUAGUGUAGCGGUGGAAUGCGUAGAUAUUAGGAGGAACAUCAGUGGCGAAGGCGACUUUCUGGACUGUAACUGACGCUGAGGCACGAAAGUGUGGGGAGCAAA
Molecule: ribosomal RNA, 247 nt
Filed under: uncultured bacterium
Lineage: Bacteria
Description: partial 16S ribosomal RNA
Rfam family: Bacterial small subunit ribosomal RNA
Source: RNAcentral